This is a non-coding RNA of Podarcis lilfordi (Lilford's wall lizard), 130 nucleotides long. The record is from the annotation of a GenBank genome assembly. NCBI's taxonomy places the organism in Eukaryota, Metazoa, Chordata, Lepidosauria, Squamata, Lacertidae.
UGUCCAGUACCACCUUAGAGACCAACUAAGUUUGUUCUGGGUAUAUGUUUUCGUAUCUGAAGAAGUGUGCAUGCACACGAAAGCUUAUACCCAGAACAAACUUAGUUGGUCUCUAAGGUGCUACUGGACA